Molecule: ribosomal RNA, 321 nt
Filed under: uncultured bacterium
Lineage: Bacteria
Description: bacterial SSU rRNA
Rfam family: Bacterial small subunit ribosomal RNA
Source: RNAcentral
GACGAACGCUGGCGGCGUGCUUAACACAUGCAAGUCGAGCGGUAAGGCCCUUUCGGGGGUACACGAGCGGCGAACGGGUGAGUAACACGUGGGUGACCUGCCCUCAGCUCUGGGAUAAGCCUGGGAAACCGGGUCUAAUACCGGAUAUGACUCCAUGACGCAUGUUGUGGGGUGGAAAGCCUUGUGCGGCUGAGGAUGGGCCCGCGGCCUAUCAGCUUGUUGGUGGGGUGAUGGCCUACCAAGGCGACGACGGUAGCCGGCCUGAGAGGGCGACCGGCCGACACUGGGACUGAGACACGGCCCACGACUCCUACGGGAGGG